Molecule: unclassified non-coding RNA, 299 nt
Filed under: uncultured bacterium
Lineage: Bacteria
Description: partial contains 16S ribosomal RNA and 16S-23S ribosomal RNA intergenic spacer region
Rfam family: Bacterial small subunit ribosomal RNA
Source: RNAcentral
ACACAGAGAGGAAAGGGGGUGGGGCAACCCAUCACCGGCGAACGGGUGUCUUUCCCCGUGAGCGACCUGCCCUGGUGUAGGGGGAUAGCCGGCCCAACGGCCGGGUAAUACCGCAUACGACUCGGGAGAGGCAUCUCUCCGGAGUGAAACAUUUAUGGCACCAGGAGGGGCUCGCGGCCUAUCAGCUAGUUGGCGAGGUAACGGCUCACCAAGGCUACGACGGGUAGCUGGUCUGAGAGGACGAUCAGCCACACUGGGACUGAGAUACGGCCCAGACUCCUACGGGAGGCAGCAGUGGG